This 253-nucleotide ribosomal RNA is filed under the name uncultured bacterium. RNAcentral describes it as "partial 16S ribosomal RNA". It matches the Rfam family "Bacterial small subunit ribosomal RNA", at positions 524 to 776 of the family's 1533-position model. The record is from RNAcentral.
UACGGAGGGGGCUAGCGUUGUUCGGAAUUACUGGGCGUAAAGCGUACGUAGGCGGCUUUGUAAGUUAGAGGUGAAAGCCCGGGGCUCAACUCCGGAAUUGCCUUUAAGACUGCAUCGCUUGAAUCAUGGAGAGGUUAGUGGAAUUCCGAGUGUAGAGGUGAAAUUCGUAGAUAUUGGGAGGAACACCGGUGGCGAAGGCGGCGAUCUGGGUGGUGACUGACGCUGAGGCGCGAAAGCGUGGGGAGCAAACAGG